AGUGAACGCUGGCGGUAGGCCUAACACAUGCAAGUCGAACGGCAGCACAGUAAUAGCUUGCUCUUACGGGUGGCGAGUGGCGGACGGGUGAGGAAUACAUCGGAGUCUACUUUUUCGUGGGGGAUAACGUAGGGAAACUUACGCUAAUACCGCAUACGACCUACGGGUGAAAGCAGGGGAUCUUCGGACCUUGCGCGAGUGAAUGAGCCGAUGUCGGAUUAGCUAGUUGGCGGGGUAAAGGCCCACCAAGGCGACGAUCCGUAGCUGGUCUGAGAGGAUGAUCAGCCACACUGGAACUGAGACACGGUCCAGACUCCUACGGGAGGCAGCAGUGGGGAAUAUUGGACAAUGGGCGCAAGCCUGAUCCAGCCAUACCGCGUGGGUGAAGAAGGCCUUCGGGUUGUAAAGCACUUUUGUUGGGAAAGAAAAGCAGCAGGUUAAUACCCCGCUGUUCUGACGGUACCCACAGAAUAAGCACCGGCUAACUUCGUG
This 492-nucleotide ribosomal RNA is filed under the name uncultured bacterium. RNAcentral describes it as "partial 16S ribosomal RNA". It matches the Rfam family "Bacterial small subunit ribosomal RNA", at positions 29 to 507 of the family's 1533-position model. The record is from RNAcentral.